Molecule: RNA transcript, 1354 nt
Organism: Lycium barbarum (goji berry)
Lineage: Eukaryota; Viridiplantae; Streptophyta; Magnoliopsida; Solanales; Solanaceae
Exons: 3
Source: RefSeq, a predicted model, not a curated record
GCCCAUUUGAUGGACAAACCAUGAAAUGUGAAUCAAUUCAAAAGGGGAAAGUGUAAACAACUGAGAGCACAAAAUAGAGAAACAAUGAAGUUCACUGAUUCACCCGUAAUCGAUCUUCAAGUCCUUAAUUCUCAAUUAUCAUUCCACCAAGACAAUGGAUCAAUGCACGUUGGAACCAGUGUUUGGCCUUGUUCACUUGUCCUCGUCAAGUUCAUCGAACGUUGGCAUCCUCUAACAUGCGCGGUUACACCAAAUCUCUAUUCCGACAUCCUUAACUUCCACAACAAACGUGGCAUCGAACUCGGUGCGGGUUGCGGUGUAGCAUCAAUGGGCCUUUUCUUAUUGGGCCUAAACAACAUCGUUAUAACAGACAUCCCUCCUGUUAUGCCGGCUUUAAAACACAAUCUCAAAAAGAACAAACCCAUUCUGAACAAGAGUUUGAAAACGGCUCAGUUGAAUUGGUCUAAUAAAGAUCAGAUAAAGUCGUUGGGCCCACCGUUUGAUGUUGUUAUUGCUGCUGACGUGGUGUAUUUGGAGGAGACUGUGGGUCCGUUGUUAACGGCUAUGGAUGAUUUGGUUGAUGAAAAUGGUGUUGUUUUGUUGGGGUACCAGUUGAGAUCACCUGAAGCGCAUACGAUGUUUUGGGAGCUUUGUGGGGAGAUGUUUGAUGUUGAGAAGGUUCCACAUGAGCAUUUACAUCAAGAGUAUGCGUAUGAGGAGACCGAUGUUUAUAUCUUCAGGAAGAAGAAGAAGAAAUUGUAGGAAUUGUGUUGUCUUGACAGGUUUCACUAAAGGUUCUUUCUCCUUUAAUCAGAGAGGUUUCUCCCACUUGAAUCUCUUAAUUGUUAGUGAUGUAUCCUAAUUCUCUGCCCAAGUUAAGAGUUUCGUCCAGUCUGUACAAAAAGAUACGUUUGCCCAGGGCAAUUGCUUGGGCAUCAUCCCAUCUGCAUGAAGGAUACGUGUGCUCAGCAAGGCAAUUGACUGUAAACUUACAUUGUGUUUGAGAAAGGAGACUAGCAAGUGUCGAACUGCAGAACACCAGGCAGGGAUGAUCGUCUCAGCCAUCGCUGCCGGCUUAGUGGCUUCACGAUGAAAAAAUGUUCGCAUGCAUAUCAUUAUAGUUGAAGACCUAUAUAUGUAUUUUGUGAGAUGGCUGUUCUGCUGAAACAAUAAUGGGAUAGACGGUGAUGUGAUGGACUUAAUAAUAUUCUGAUGCCAAAGGAAACUAAGUACAAUCGUCAACUGUGUAAUAUUUUGCUCUUACAACACCCUGCACAUAUCAUAUUUAUGUGUGAAUACUUGUUCCAGAGAUCAGUUUUACACAUUAUGUCAGCAUAACUGGUUCUGAGUGCUA